UACGGAGGGGGCUAGCGUUGUUCGGAAUCACUGGGCGUAAAGCGCACGUAGGCCGGCUGUUAAGUCGGGGGUGAAAGCCUGGAGCUCAACUCCAGAACUGCCUCCGAUACUGGCAGCCUUGAGUCCGAGAGAGGUGAGUGGAAUUCCCAGUGUAGAGGUGAAAUUCGUAGAUAUUGGGAAGAACACCAGUGGCGAAGGCGGCUCACUGGCUCGGUACUGACGCUGAGGUGCGAAAGCGUGGGGAGCAAACAGGAUUAGAUACCCCCGUAGUCC
This 273-nucleotide ribosomal RNA is filed under the name uncultured bacterium. Its description in RNAcentral is "partial 16S ribosomal RNA". It matches the Rfam family "Bacterial small subunit ribosomal RNA", at positions 524 to 796 of the family's 1533-position model. The record is from RNAcentral.